This 274-nucleotide ribosomal RNA is filed under the name uncultured bacterium. RNAcentral's name for it is "partial 16S ribosomal RNA". It matches the Rfam family "Bacterial small subunit ribosomal RNA", at positions 523 to 796 of the family's 1533-position model. The record is from RNAcentral.
AUACGGAGGGUGCAAGCGUUAUUCGGAAUCACUGGGCGUAAAGGACGCGUAGGCGGGUUGGCAAGUCAGAUGUGAAAUCCUACAGCUUAACUGUAGGACUGCAUUUGAAACUGCUAACCUAGAGUAUGGGAGGGGGAGAUGGAAUUAGUGGUGUAGGGGUAAAAUCCGUAGAUAUCACUAGGAAUACCGAAAGCGAAGGCGAUCUCCUGGAACAUAACUGACGCUAAGGCGUGAAAGCGUGGGGAGCAAACAGGAUUAGAAACCCUAGUAGUCC